This 1000-nucleotide long non-coding RNA is filed under the name Capra hircus (goat). Its description in RNAcentral is "lncRNA (ENSCHIG00010017791.1)". Lineage: Eukaryota; Metazoa; Chordata; Mammalia; Artiodactyla; Bovidae. The record is from RNAcentral.
GAGUCUGCAUAUCCAUCUAUCCGUCCGUGAAGCAGAAAUGCUAUGAGAAUAUGGUGUUAAAAAUAAUUAGAGACCAUGUAUAAGCAGAUUCAAAAAGUUAUUAAAGUAUAUUAGCUAUAGUAUAUACCUACCACAUAUUACAGAUAAACUGUGGGAAAUAGACAAAAGAUAAAUUAACAGAAAUUUACAGUUAAUCUUUUAGAGCCUUUUUUUCAUCAAGCUAAAAUCUUGUAACUACUUCACCAUUCUUUAUCUCAUUUUCAUUUCAUGGAAAUGUACACUUGCCCACAGUAAAGCCCAGAAACUGAAAAUGGCCUCAUAAACACCUUCAACAUUCUCCUUUUACCAGCCUCCUUACAACUGCUUAACACUAAAUAGUGCAGAAAUGUAGCUUUCUAUCAAAAGUACAGUGUGCUGCCCUGCACCAUGUGGGAGACUUGAAAUUGUUCAGACCUAGGGUCCUUGGUUACUACAUUACACUGCAAGAAUAUAGUAGGUACACACAGUCGGGGGCAUGACAAAGUAUCCUUUCUGAGCUGUGAGGGUCUAGAUAAUGGAGGAACAAUGAUGGAUUUCAUGGUGAUGGAUUCAUUUGAUUUCCACUGGCCUCAUCCAGAAUCCCCAUUAGAUUACUCUUGAAGAAAGUGUACGCAUUCCUUUCCUUUUGUCAAAGUACAUUUUCUAGGCCAAAUCUUGCUUUUUAGAGUAUUUAUAAAUGGCUUCCUACAGAUAUUUUCAAGUUUCUGCAACAAAUAUGCUUGACAAACAUAACAAAACAUAUUCAAACAUAUUUAUAUCUCCAUUUCUAAAAGAGUGGAGUCCUAUCUUCCCACAUAUGAAUAUAUUAAAAAAAAAAACAAAGAACUAUUUUCAUCUUUCCAACAGAGGCAUUUAUAAAAUUUUAAGUGACCUGUGCUAUUCAUGUUAUCUUAUUUUUAACUACUUCAUAUGCUCAAGUACUUUGUCAUAUUAUUUAUUUCCGUACAUAUUCUCCAUCUGA